GCCGGGCGUGGUGGCUCACGCCUGUAAUCCCAGCCCUUUGGGAGGCCGAGGUGGGUGGAUCACCUGAGGUCAGGAGUUCAAGACCAGCCUGGCCAAUAUGGUGAAACCCCGUCUCUA
This 117-nucleotide signal recognition particle RNA is filed under the name Nomascus leucogenys (northern white-cheeked gibbon). RNAcentral describes it as "Metazoan signal recognition particle RNA". It matches the Rfam family "Metazoan signal recognition particle RNA". Rfam says of the family: The signal recognition particle (SRP) is a universally conserved ribonucleoprotein. It is involved in the co-translational targeting of proteins to membranes. Lineage: Eukaryota; Metazoa; Chordata; Mammalia; Primates; Hylobatidae. The record is from Rfam by way of RNAcentral.